Tarenaya hassleriana is the source of this 4171-nucleotide long non-coding RNA. RefSeq lists it as uncharacterized. The transcript is spliced from 4 exons. The record is from RefSeq and is a predicted model, not a curated record. NCBI's taxonomy places the organism in Eukaryota, Viridiplantae, Streptophyta, Magnoliopsida, Brassicales, Cleomaceae.
AAUACAUAUAGUAUAAUAAACUUUGCCCAUGAUGAGAAAUAAUCUAACAUAUAUAAUAUUCUGCAAGCCCAUCACCUGAGUAAGGUACUCACACCAUGCUUUGUUGUUUGUUGCACGUGCUGGAUCAUUUUUCGUGUGACCGUUGCUCAUUUCUUUCUUUAACAUCAACUUGGUUAAUGUUUCUCAUUCAACAUUCCCCUCAAGAUUAGACGUGAAUAAUCGAUGAGUCCAUUCUUGUUUAUUACAACAUUGUACCACUAUAGAGUCGUCAUCUUCAACAGGGAGAACCAGAGCUGUUCGGACUCGUGUGGUGAUGACAUAAUCCCACAGUCCUUUAUUGUGAAUGGCUGCUGUUGUCGCCUUCUUCCAAUAAAAGUAGUUAUCGCCAUUGAGCAGAAUUGGAAUGAGUUUGCCAUGUUGUUCCAUUGCAGAACUUCUGUUGGACAGUUGAGCUUCAAAGAAGUUGGACAGUUGAGCUUCAAACGACCAUUGCUUGGUGGUGGAUGGUAAUCAGAUCUCUUAUUAAUCAACGGUAACACAGAUAAUUUUGAUGGAUGGGGUAAAUGUUUUGGAUUCCACUGCAAAAUCUAUGCAUAGUUUGAGAAAGAUUCAGUAGCAGUUUUUCUUGAUUUUGCACCUUAUGUAUAAGGGUAUGUAUGUCAUUGACUAAUCUUAGGGUUUUAUGUAGAUAGAUAUGGGUAGUGAUGAAUGAGACGGCAGGCAGGAGGUUUUGCGACUCAAUUUGGCAUACGGGUAUAGUACCGGAGCCCGGUUCAAACUCUCGCUUGUUUGCCGAGACAUUUGGUUUCUCUUGUUCAUGUUUGGUUUCAGGAUAUGUUAAUGUACCUUUUCUGCUAUUUAUGCAAUCCUAAUUGGUAUUUUCGGUUUUCAGAUUUAAGACUGCAUGGCUUCCUUCGAUGGUCAAGAGUUUCGGAUGACAGAUGGCUCGUGCAUGAAGACGAUGGUCGUUGACGUUAUAUCAUCGACAAAGAUCUCUCCUUACCUUGCUCGUAUACACGAGGGUUCAAUCCUCCACAGGGGGAACCGAGCCGUCUUUUUCCGUCUCUUUUGGGAUGUCGGGUUCGUGGACACAUGCGGUGGCAAGAAGGCAAGAUGGCGUCUUUCCGCUGUCAAGCUCUGCACGAGAAACCUGUGUCUCUUUCUCGAAACCCGUUUCUGGACAACCUUAAGGAUCUGUGCCGCUUCUUUGCUUCCAAACAGGUCACUUUUGUCGGGUUGCGGAUCGAGGAAGACGUCGCGUUGCUUAAAGAAACCCAUGGUAUUGUGUUUCAUAACGCUGUUGAGUUGGGGAAGUCGCUGCUAAAAUCUGCGAAUGGCCUUUGUAUGAUUUCAUCGGGGUCAUACAAUUGGCACAGCGAAUCCUUUCGAUUGACUUGAGCCACUUGUACUCGAGUGAGUCUCUUUUGGUCCAGAGGGUUCUAGGGAUUCUCUUGAGAGUGCCGCCACUGAAGGUUGGCUUGUCUGCUGUGUCUGGGUUGAAACUCGUCUUACGGCGCUUUGGGCCUUACCCCACAACGUCUCACAGCCCAACAGACAGGAUGGAAACAUCAUCGCGGACAAUAAACUUCCGGCCCUUGCGUAACAGUCGACAACAAGACACGUAGAACAAGUACAGCAGAUCAGUUCAGGUAAAGUUCAGAUUUAAGGACAAAUCGAACCCACGACUUCGAAUAGAAAGGGUUGUUAUUUUCAACUGAGUUGGUUACUUCCCCUUGAUUUUGCACUUUCGGUAGCAGCUUUCUUGAUUUCGCCCUUUCAGUAGCAGUUGUCUCACCGGAUCCAAUGUUUCUCAAUUGGGUUGUUUUGGAUUCUCUUCAAUCUGACUGUUUUCUGGGGGGGAAAAAAAUCAAAGGGAUAAAGUUUGGGUUUUUUCGUUCUCUAGAAUCUUCGGGUUUCUGGCAUUCGUCCUCCUCCGUUUUUAUAUUCUUAUCUCGAUCUGAAGCUUGCGAAGAACAUGAACGGGAGCUUGUUCUUCGGCUUUCCUUUUGUCAUGCGGUUUUUGUAUUUAAGUCCAACAAUAUUCAUUCCUAGGGGAGUGAACUCAUCAACUGGGAGAAUGCACGUCAUUCUUGAGAAGUGCAAAAGCCACGUAGUUCCCCUCUAUAUAUAAAAGUCUGAUUCUUUUCGUCUUGAUGAAAUAUCGUAUUUGGGAUCAGAUUUCAAAUAAUCAAAGAUCUCGAACUGCAUGGCCACCUUUGAUUGGCAGUGUUUUCAGAUGGAAGAUGACUCGUGCGUGCAGACGGUUGCUGUCGACGUUGUGUCAUCAACAGAUAUCUCUCUUCACCUUUCUCGUAUAAGGGAGGAUUCGAUCCAGCAUGGAAAGCGGGUAGUCGUCUUCGAUCUGUGCUGGGAUGUCGAGUAUCAUGACGGAUACGAGAUGCCUAAAUGGCGUCUAUCCUCUGUCAAGUUCAGCACCACAAACCUUUGUCUCUUUUUCAGACUGCCGAACAUGUUUCAUGGCUUCCGUAUUGAUCUGUGCCGAUUCUUUGCUUCAAAGGUUUUCACUUUUGUUGGGGUACGGAUCAAGGAAGACCUCGCUUUGCUUAAGCAAUCUUACGGUAUUUUGAUCCGAAACGCAGUAGCUGUGGGGGAAUUAGCUGCUAAAAUGUAUAAAAAAACCUGAGCUUGAAGUCCUCGGAACCAUAGACUUGGCGCAGUGCCAUCCAUGGAGUGUUGUGAGCUUCUGGGACAAGAGACGUGCUAAGUGGUUUGAGCCGGGUUUUAGUGAUUCUCUUGAGGGUGCAGCCUUUGAAGGUUGGCUUGUCCGCUGUGUCUGGGAUAAGUUAAUCCGUGACUCGUUUGGCCGGUCUUAGUGGAUUAAGGCGGGUUCAAGCGUUCGUUUUGAAUGGGUUGUUUUGUAACGAACUGCUCAUGGAUGUGGCACUUUGUGUUUGAUCACUUCUCUGUUGUUGUUCUAUCCUUGUAGUAUCCGAGGUUUUCUUGUGGUAUGUUGGAAGACUGUUUUUGAUACACUUCAAGGUCUCUCUCGUUGUUGGUAAUUUGCCGUGUUAAGUUGUUUCUUGAAGCCAUUGUGACCAAUGGUUUUCUGGUUUACAAAAGUGAGAUUCUUGUCUGCAUCUUUCUUUCUCCCCCAUCCAAAUCUCUCCCAUUUUGCUUACCUGCUUGCAGAAUUCAAAGUUCUUUAACUUCAAGAACCUGAUAAGUCUAUGUCUGCCAAUUUGAUCUUUCUCUCAUUUUGUUGUCUUGCUGUUUUGGGGGGCUCCCUGCUUUUUCCGUAUUCUUCAUUUCAAUGGCUGUUCUCUUGUGGUUCCCUUUCUGGCUAUCAGUAGUUUCCUUUCUCAUGUCGAUUUGAUCCGUUCUCUUGCUUGAUCUGAUAUUCUCAUUGGGUUAUUUCUGAUAGUGAAUCUGGUGAGAAACCUUCUACAUGGUCAAAGGUAUGGACUUUAUGGUGAAUUUGUGAGAUUGAAUGCAGGGGUGUAGUUUUUAUGAGUUUCUGUGCGAUUGUUCACAGUUUUUUUUAAUGAACUAUGGGUGCUACCGUUUCACAGGGUACUAAAGGUUGAAUCUUUACUCUCUGCUACAGUCUGUAGAGGGAAGGCCAUUGCUUGGUAAUGGAUGCUUUUGAAGAGCUUGAGUGGUCUAAUGAUCUGAGCUUUGUCAGUGCCAUUAGAUGCUUCUACUCUAUCCAUUUAACAGUACCCGAGACAGAAGAUACAGAGAAGAUGAGACGGGACUGCGCUAAUAUUGACAGCGCCGAUGGUUUUAGGGGCUUCCAUGGGCGAUACCCGAAGAAAAAGACGUUACCUCGGGUGUUUAUGCAUCGACUUAGCUGCCUGGACUUGUCUCCUAAAGGCCGGUUGAAUCAGAUAACCGUUGUAGAUACCCUUUAGUUACGCCAACAUCUACAGGUUGAACAGAUUCUCAUUGUAUGAAAGUAUGUAGUGAUUUUUUUUGUCGUAGGAUCAUAAAAGAAGGUUUCUGCCAUAUCUUCUGUGGGAUUGAAGGUCAUACCCAUUAUCAGAUACCGAAGCACUGAUUCACAUGGCUCAAUUCUCUCCAGUUCUUGCGUUGGUUUUUUUUCAACUGUUUCUAUACACAGCUACAGAUAAAGAUUGUUUCUUGGAAGAGGGUCAAUCUCUUGCUCAUUGUUCUUAGAAACCAGUUGUGGGCAAACCCAGUUCAGUUUGAU